Branchiostoma belcheri (Belcher's lancelet) is the source of this 296-nucleotide long non-coding RNA. RefSeq lists it as uncharacterized. The transcript has 3 exons. Lineage: Eukaryota; Metazoa; Chordata; Leptocardii; Amphioxiformes; Branchiostomatidae. The record is from RefSeq and is a predicted model, not a curated record.
ACUCCGCCGUCCAUAGCAACGCCGUUGCUAAGGACGACGUUUUCGCGGGCGGCGGGCUGAAAUUUCAUCCGAGUUGUUGACAGCCGAUUACAUCACCAGUUUCGGUCUCUGCGUCAAGAUGGCGAUUAUCAUAGGCUUCACAGUCUAGAUUGGUAAAAGCCACACCCAGUGGGAUUGUCACCAGCAGGACACCAGGAUGUUAUAUUGUUUAUUUAGCUUGAGAUUAUGGAUAUAUAUAUAUAAGAUGUAUUAUGUAUUGAGAUCUUAAUUUCCAUCUAUUCUGUUUAUUGUAAUCU